This 31-nucleotide non-coding RNA is filed under the name Mus musculus (house mouse). Lineage: Eukaryota; Metazoa; Chordata; Mammalia; Rodentia; Muridae. The record is from RNAcentral.
UGCAACGAAAAUGGUUUUGUCUCAGCAGACC